This 1815-nucleotide long non-coding RNA is filed under the name Salvia miltiorrhiza (redroot sage). Its description in RNAcentral is "long non-coding RNA (SMIL_LNC011103)". Lineage: Eukaryota; Viridiplantae; Streptophyta; Magnoliopsida; Lamiales; Lamiaceae. The record is from RNAcentral.
AUAUCUGAAAUUGAUGAAGGCUGCAACUCUUUCUUGCACUCCACAUACUAAAAUACUCUACAAUCUUAGGUGUGUUCUCAUCAACGCAUAAUCUGUGGCCACACAAUCAACGACAUAAUCAAAACACUUCCAUAAUCUGGAUGUAUUUGAAAUGAUAUUUAACUCAAGAUUAUAUUCUCUACUAAACAUAGCAGUUUGUGGUGUUUGUGGUGCAGGGCUCCUUGUUCACCAAACCCUGUUCACCAAAGAUUGCGAUGGUGAAAAGGGCAUCUUCUAAUAGACAUCUAUGUUUGGGAAACUUCACAAACAACAAUUCAUGCACAAAGAAAUCAAGAGUUGUUCAAUACUAAUUCCGUAAAAACAAUAAAAUUAAGAAACUUAACUUGAAUCAAUCAACAUAAUCAAACAAGAAAUUGGUAAUAGAGAAACAUGCCAUGUUUUAAUUUAGUUUUAGUUGAGAGAUACCUUCUAAACUGGAGACUAUUCUGUGAACAAGACUUCAUAACCUGACAUUUUGCAUGUCCUACACAGAAGAAUUUCCAUCAAAACUUCUUUUAUAAUAAUCAGCUGCAUUUUCAUCUAAACUAUAAAUUACUACCAAUUUUCAAGAGGAGUGAGAAAGAUUAAUUACCUUUUAUAGCUUUAAAACCAUGACUGCAUGCUCCUUACUGACACUUCCCUUUGUACACUGUAAAUGGCUCUGGGAAACUGGUACAAGAAGAGUUAUAAAAGUACACUAUAGAAAGGUUAAGUAAUUUUAAUUACUUAAUAAUGUGAUUUAAGUCUUUCGACCAAUAUUUGUAGUGAUUUAAUCUUAACUGGAUCUGAACUACCUAAUUUACAAGCUAAUAGAUUUGAAUUACCUGAGCGAACAAGAACAUGUUGACGAAAAUGCUAACACAUGAAACAAUUGAAACUCAAGGACAUGACCCGAUGGAUCUGUGUAUACACUUAGAAACAACGACACAGCUUGGGAAAUUUGAGUAAAAUUUGGCUGGUAAGGUGCAAAAUGAUAUGCGUUACUGCUGUGAAACUAAUGAAACAACAUAAACCAAGCAACUUCAUUAAUUGUAGUAUGUAUAUGUAGUAUUUAAAUAAAGCAUAAAAAGUGUUAUGUGAGAAAUGAAAAUAAGCAAAGCCUAAGAUAUGAAUUAUACUUAAUAUAGAAUCGCAAAAAAUUGUAUGCAUAACUUUCGCCAGAUAACUCUCAGGUUCUAAUAGUAGUUUUGUUUCUAAGGAUAUAUUUAGUUUGGUAUUGAAAAGGAUAUCAAAAUUCUACACAUGUCUUUCUCAUAAAGAUGAUGAGCAACCCAAAUAGGAAAAAACAUAAAGUCCCAAGCUGCAGAUAGAGCGAGUGAAAGAAUCUUUACAUAUACUUACUUCUAAGCUUAUUAGAUAAAUUUAAAAUAUAAAGAUAUGCAUAUUGCAAUCAAUAACUAGUUUCACUUUUUUCUACUACUCGAUAACACCUAUGGAACCUUCAGAAUUUCAAAAAUGAGAAAUGAUGAACGAAACUCCACUAAAAUGUAGUGUAAUUCAUACAAAAUGUGAACUCGAAACUACUCUUUUUGCAACUCAAAUCAACAAAACAAACUAACUCUUCUUCCUGGAAAGAGACAUGAAACCUUAUACUGUGUACAAGAAUCUCAAUUUCCAUUAUAAAUAGGCGCACAUAAAUAAUCAUGUCGUCUAACAACUACUGCGAUCAAUUAAUCAAAAAAGAAUGAAUAGAAUUUUGUUAAACAUUAAUGAUAGCAAUUUACCCGAAUUUUUUCUCAAUGAAGAAGGGCAUGCUCCCUGUUCACUGCAUCAAAU